RNAcentral lists this unclassified non-coding RNA (384 nucleotides) under Hevea brasiliensis (rubber tree). Lineage: Eukaryota; Viridiplantae; Streptophyta; Magnoliopsida; Malpighiales; Euphorbiaceae. The record is from RNAcentral.
UUACGCAAUUCGCAAUGUAAUAUAUGCUACAUACAUUGUCAGGAAGAUCAUUACGUUUUACAAUAUGUCAAGCCAUACAACCUAUGCACAUUAUGAUGUCUAAUUUCUUUUAAAAUGAGAACCGCUGGGUUAGGCAAGUUUCAAGAGAUUUCAAAACAAAGCCAGUAAGCUUAGAAGAAAAGGGCAACCAUAUAAAUCAUCAUUUUAAGUUAGAAAAUUAACUUUUUGAGUUACCACUUACCAGAAGUAUGCCUUCCAAAUAAAAAUAGGUAAAUUGUGUCACUUUCAUUCCAGCUCAUUUACCUACACCUUUUACUAUGUAUCUCGCUUGCAGUAGUACAUUAAAAGGUAAAAAUUCCCCCAAAACAACAAUAACAAACUUAA